This 253-nucleotide ribosomal RNA is filed under the name uncultured bacterium. RNAcentral's name for it is "partial 16S ribosomal RNA". It matches the Rfam family "Bacterial small subunit ribosomal RNA", at positions 524 to 776 of the family's 1533-position model. The record is from RNAcentral.
UACAGGGGGGGCAAGCGUUGUUCGGAAUUACUGGGCGUAAAGAGCGUGUAGGCGGCCAAGCAGGUCCGUUGUGAAAACUGGAGGCUUAACCUCCAGACGUCGACGGAAACCGCGUGGCUAGAGUCCGGAAGAGGAGAGUGGAAUUCCUGGUGUAGCGGUGAAAUGCGCAGAUAUCAGGAAGAACACCAAUGGCGAAGGCAGCUCUCUGGGACGGUACUGACGCUGAGACGCGAAAGCGUGGGGAGCGAACAGG